RNAcentral lists this long non-coding RNA (1166 nucleotides) under Mus spicilegus (steppe mouse). RNAcentral describes it as "lncRNA (ENSMSIG00000014524.1)". The record is from RNAcentral. Lineage: Eukaryota; Metazoa; Chordata; Mammalia; Rodentia; Muridae.
GAAGCUCCUUAGCAGAGGGGGAGCAGGACUGGGCAGGCAGGCUCCUUCCCGCUGUCUUUAUCAUGACUGAAGAAGUAAGACCGACAUCAGAGUAGCACAUGCAACCGACACCGAAGACGCUACAGAGUGCGUGGGAGGGGUGGUCCUGUGUGAGCCUCGCCUAGCAACUGCAAAAAGCCUUCCUUCCCAGCACCAGCAACCAUUGCAGUUGGAGACAGAUCGUGCCACUCAAAGGACAUUCAAGCAGAUGCAUGGUGUGAGAAGGCUGCUUUGCUCCUGGCAUGAGCUCUAUCUGCUAGCAGAAGAAUAACAUUCCUGAAAUUGGACAAAAUCUUCAGAUCAACUUCUGCUCUAAGGACAAAGCAGAGACUCUCCUUGCUGUGACAAAGGGGACAUGGGGAACAACCUGUUCCAUGAGAUCUCAUUAUUGCAGCAAUGACCCACCCAUGAGCUUGCCCUUCUUUGCAGCAAUGACCCACCCAUGCGCUUGUUGUCUGAACACCUGCUGUAGCCCUCACCUCCCAGCACUGAGCCCUUGGAUUCACACCACAGCACUAUGUGUAAGAAAGAGAAUUUGGCUAAAUCCAGAAAACUCCAAUAUACAUACCUGGAGACCAGAUAAAGCCAGCCACAGCCCAGCCUUCAUCUCUGGAGGUUUGUUUUCCCUUUGAGAUUCUGCCACAGCCCAUGUAUGACGUCAGAGCACAGCCGGCAGGCUUUCAUCUCUCUCCUUCCACCUUUAUGUGGGUUCCAGAGAUCAAACUCAGAUCCUCCGGCUGGUGCCGCAGUCACCUGCACCCUCUGAGCAUCCUCCGAAACCCAAACCACCAGCUUGCUCGGGAGAACUGAAGUUUCUUUUCAUGCAAUUAUCCCAGCCUGGAGACAGAGAGGGGAGACAACAGGACAGCUACAUCUCUCAGGCUCUGGAGGAUAAUGGGUUCUGACCUCUGAUACCUCCAGGAGAGAGAAGCAGGGGUCACUCUGAGGGAAGCCGGAGCUCACCCUGAAGAUGCUUCCUGCAUGUGCGGGAUUCUGUACUGCACACAAAGACAAUCAGGGGCAGUGGGACGCCCGAGCAGUAACAUUCAAGAGUCAACCCCAAACCAGCCAAUGAGAUCAGCUUCUUAGAUUUAGUUAGUGUUUUACAAGGCAGCCGGUGAGAUCCA